Molecule: unclassified non-coding RNA, 381 nt
Filed under: soil metagenome
Description: partial contains 5.8S ribosomal RNA, internal transcribed spacer 2, and large subunit ribosomal RNA
Rfam family: 5.8S ribosomal RNA (bases 1-120)
Source: RNAcentral
GAUGAAGAACGUAGCGAAAUGCGAUAAGUAAUGUGAAUUGCAGAAUUCAGUGAAUCAUCGAAUCUUUGAACGCACCUUGCACCCUUUGGUAUUCCGAAGGGUAUGCUCGUUUGAGUGUCAUUGUACUCUCACACUUCCGAUCGUUUGGAUCGGGAGCGGUGGACUUGGGUGUUGCUGCUUUACCGUGGCUCACCUCAAAUGGAUUCGUGCAACUCCUGGUUGGACAUAGUACGGCGUGAUAAGUGUCUUCGCCGGCACCUCACUAGAGGGUGGCUGACCGGGAGCUCUGUGCUUCAAACCGUCUUCGGACAACAACUGACAACUUGACCUCAAAUCGAGUAGGACCACCCGCUGAACUUAAGCAUAUCAAUAAGCGGAGGA